GCGGGGGGCCCGAGACCCUCCGUGACGUCGGGCCCGGGGACCCCUGCGGGUUUCCCUCGCCCAGGCUCGAGGGGGCUCUGGGGCUGCCCCCUUCCCCCCUGUCCAGUCACAGACAGCUCCAUGCAUCCCCCCCUGAUCUGGAAAGCUCCCCCAGAGCUCUGGCAUCCUUCAAGUAAACCCAGCCUGCCAGAGAGAAUUGGGGAGGGGGUGUUAUAGAUUCCCAUCAUGUCCGUACCCCAAACCCUCCUAAAGGCCUCAUCAUUUCAUCACCUCUCCUAAUUGGUUCAUCACGUCCCUCUUCAGUUCGUCCUCCACACGACUGGCAAAAUGAUUUAGCGUCUCAAGGCGACUCUCCUCAGCUCAAUAAACUCCUUAGCUCCCCUUCACUACCUAGCUGCCCUCAUACCGAACUGGCACACAAAAGGCUUUUAAUAAAAGCUUACUGAUUGAUU
Molecule: long non-coding RNA, 452 nt
Filed under: Phascolarctos cinereus (koala)
Lineage: Eukaryota; Metazoa; Chordata; Mammalia; Diprotodontia; Phascolarctidae
Description: lncRNA (ENSPCIG00000014590.2)
Source: RNAcentral